AUUCCAGCUCCAAUAGCGUAUAUUAAAGUUGUUGCGGUUAAAAAGCUCGUAGUUGGAUUUCUGCCGAGGAUGACCGGUCCGCCCUGUGGGUGUGCAUCUGGCUCAGCCUUGGCAUCUUCCUGAAGAACGUAGCUGCACUUGACUGUGUGGUGCGGUAUUUAGGACAUUUACUUUGAGGAAAUUAGAGUGUUUCAAGCAAGCGCACGCUUUGAAUACAUUAGCAUGGAAUAAUAAGAUAGGACCUUGGUUCUAUUCUGUUGGUUUCUAGUACUGAAGUAAUGAUUGAUCGGGAUAGUUGGGGGUGCUAGUAUUGGGCGGCCAGAGGUGAAAUUCUUGGAUUCGCUCAAUACUAACUUAUGCGAAAGCAUUCACCAAGGAUGUCUUCAUCA
RNAcentral lists this ribosomal RNA (389 nucleotides) under Biecheleria sp. RNAcentral describes it as "partial small subunit ribosomal RNA". It matches the Rfam family "Eukaryotic small subunit ribosomal RNA", at positions 582 to 975 of the family's 1831-position model. Lineage: Eukaryota; Dinophyceae; Suessiales; Biecheleriaceae. The record is from RNAcentral.